Small nuclear RNA from Cornus florida, 191 nucleotides. RefSeq annotates it as U2 spliceosomal RNA. The record is from RefSeq and is a predicted model, not a curated record. Lineage: Eukaryota; Viridiplantae; Streptophyta; Magnoliopsida; Cornales; Cornaceae. The transcript has a single exon.
AUACCUUUCUCGGCCUUUUGGCUAAGAUCAAGUGUAGUAUCUGUUCUUAUCAGUUUAAUAUCUGAUACGUGGACCCAUGGUCCACCCGGUAUUAAAUUUAUUUUUUUAGGGGUAGAGCCCACUACAGUAGCUACUGGGCCUUUCAGCGUCGCCCAUGUCUUCCACUAUAGCAAGGGCCUGGCGCACCCCAC